This 1181-nucleotide small RNA is filed under the name Basidiomycota sp. TG27_2. RNAcentral describes it as "eukaryotic LSU rRNA". The stretch from base 406 to 1181 matches the Rfam family "Eukaryotic large subunit ribosomal RNA", at positions 1 to 804 of the family's 3401-position model. The record is from RNAcentral. Lineage: Eukaryota; Fungi; Basidiomycota.
UCUGACAAUCCUUAUCCAUACACCUGUGCACCUUUGAGAAGGGGAGGAUCUCUCCUCCCUUUUUCUUUUUUCACAAACCCCAUAUUCUAAUCUUGAACGUGAAUUGUGCCGAAAGGCCUUUAAUCAUAAAUACAACUUUUAACAACGGAUCUCUUGGCUCUCGCAUCGAUGAAGAACGCAGCGAAUUGCGAUAAGUAAUGUGAAUUGCAGAAUUCAGUGAAUCAUCGAAUCUUUGAACGCACCUUGCACUCUCUGGUAUUCCGGAGAGUACGCCUGUUCGAGUGUCGUGAAACUCUCAAGCUGGAUGGGCUUUUAUUAGCCCGUCUUGGUUUGGAUGUGGACUCUGCUGUGUCACAACGGCUGGUCUUAAAGGCAUUAGCUGAAUCUUGAUGUGGGACUUGGUUCUUACUCGGCGUGAUAAUUAUCUGACCGCUGAGGACAUCUCUUUUGGGGGAUGGCCAGACUCUUUCGGCGAGUGAAGCGGGAUGAGCUCAAAUUUAAAAUCUGGCAGUCUUCGAUUGUCCGAGUUGUAAUCUAGAGAAGCGUUUUCCGUGCUGGACUGUGUACAAGUUUCCUGGAUACGGAACAUCAUAGAGGGUGAGAAUCCCGUCCUUGACACAGACUACCAGUGCUCUGUGAUGCGCUCUCGACGAGUCGAGUUGUUUGGGAUUGCAGCUCAAAAUGGGAGGUAAAUUCCUUCUAAAGCUAAAUAUUGGCGAGAGACCGAUAGCGAACAAGUACCGUGAGGGAAAGAUGAAAAGCACUUUGGAAAGAGAGUUAAACAGUACGUGAAAUUGUUAAAAGGGAAACGCUUGAAGUCAGUCGCGUCUACUUGGACUCAGCCUUCCCUUGUGGUUGGUGCAUUUCCUUGUUGGACGGGCCAGCGUCCAUGUUGUCUGCCGGAAAAGGGGUAAAGGAAUGUGGCUCUUUCGGGAGUGUUAUAGCCUUUGCUCGUAUACGGUGUGCGAUAUGGAGUGGUACAGCAUGCUUCGGUGGUGCUUGUGCUGGCAUAAUGGCUUUAAACGACCCGUCUUGAAACACGGACCAAGGAGUCUAACAUGUCUGCGAGUGUUUGGGUGGAAAACCCGAGCGCGGAAUGAAAGUGAUAGCUGGGAACCCCUUCACUGGGAGGCACCGGCGCCCCGAGCUGACCUUCUGUGACGCAUCGGAGGUAGAGCAUA